GGUUCUGUAGUGUAGCGGUUAUCACGUCGCCCUGUCACGGCGAAGAUCGGGUUCGAUUCCCGUCAGAACCG
This 71-nucleotide transfer RNA is filed under the name Lactococcus lactis. Its description in RNAcentral is "tRNA-Asp". It matches the Rfam family "tRNA". From Rfam's summary of the family: Transfer RNA (tRNA) molecules are approximately 80 nucleotides in length. The record is from RNAcentral. Lineage: Bacteria; Bacillati; Bacillota; Bacilli; Lactobacillales; Streptococcaceae.